GUACGCUGGCGGCACGCCUAACACAUGCAAGUCGAACGAAGUAGCAAUACUUAGUGGCAGACGGGUGAGUAACAUGUAGGUAUCUGCCCUUUGGCCUGGAAUAACACGAGGAAACUUGUGCUAAUACCGGAUAAGUCUUUACGGAGAAAGCUUUAUGCACCAUUGGAUGAGCCUGCACUUGAUUAGUUUGUUGGUGGGGUAAUGGCCUACCAAGACUGUGAUCAAUAGCUGAUUUGAGAGGAUGAUCAGCCACAUUGGGACUGAGACACGGCCCAAACUCCUACGGGAGGCAGCAGUGGGGAAUCUUGCACAAUGGAGGAAACUCUGAUGCAGCGAUGCCGCGUGAGUGAAGAAGGCCUUUGGGUUGUAAAGCUCUUUCGUCGGGGAAGAAAAUG
Molecule: ribosomal RNA, 395 nt
Filed under: uncultured bacterium
Lineage: Bacteria
Description: bacterial SSU rRNA
Rfam family: Bacterial small subunit ribosomal RNA
Source: RNAcentral